AGUGAAUGCUGGCGGUAGGCCUAACACAUGCAAGUCGAACGGCAGCACAGUAAGAGCUUGCUCUUACGGGUGGCGAGUGGCGGACGGGUGAGGAAUACAUCGGAAUCUACUUUUUCGUGGGGGAUAACGUAGGGAAACUUACGCUAAUACCGCAUACGACCUACGGGUGAAAGCAGGGGAUCUUCGGACCUUGCGCGAUUGAAUGAGCCGAUGUCGGAUUAGCUAGUUGGCGGGGUAAAGGCCCACCAAGGCGACGAUCCGUAGCUGGUCUGAGAGGAUGAUGGGCGACAGUGGAAAUGAGAGACCGUCCGGACGACUAAGGGAGCGAGAAGUCGGGAAUAUUGGAGAAGGGGCGGAAGCCUGAUCCAGCCAUACCGGGUGGGGGAAGAAGGCCUGCGGGUUGUACAGGCGUUUUGUUGGCAAAGAAAAGCAGACGCUUAAUAAACCGCUGGUCUGACGGGACCCAAAGAAUAAGCACCGGCUAACUUCGUG
This 492-nucleotide ribosomal RNA is filed under the name uncultured bacterium. RNAcentral's name for it is "partial 16S ribosomal RNA". It matches the Rfam family "Bacterial small subunit ribosomal RNA", at positions 29 to 507 of the family's 1533-position model. The record is from RNAcentral.